RNAcentral lists this unclassified non-coding RNA (342 nucleotides) under uncultured fungus. RNAcentral's name for it is "partial contains small subunit ribosomal RNA, internal transcribed spacer 1, and 5.8S ribosomal RNA". The stretch from base 1 to 73 matches the Rfam family "Eukaryotic small subunit ribosomal RNA", at positions 1759 to 1831 of the family's 1831-position model. The record is from RNAcentral. Lineage: Eukaryota; Fungi.
GCAAACUUGGUCAUUUAGAGGAAGUAAAAGUCGUAACAAGGUUUCCGUAGGUGAACCUGCGGAAGGAUCAUUAACGAGUCUUUGAAGUGGGUUUGAUGCUGGCCUUCCCAAAGGCAUGUGCUCGCCCUACUCUCAUCCACUCACACCUGUGCACCUUGACGUACAAGAUCUGACUAUUGGCCCUUAGGGGCAGCCUAGGGAAACUUGGGCUAUGGUUAUUUCUUUGCGUUACUUCUAUACAAACCCUGAAUGUAUUAGAAUGUCUACUGGCCUACGGGCUCUAAUGUUAAUACAACUUUCAACAACGGAUCUCUUGGCUCUCGCAUCGAUGAAGAACGCAGC